UGAGAAGAGGCAGAAUUCGGGUCC
Molecule: non-coding RNA, 24 nt
Filed under: Rattus norvegicus (Norway rat)
Lineage: Eukaryota; Metazoa; Chordata; Mammalia; Rodentia; Muridae
Source: RNAcentral